Molecule: ribosomal RNA, 257 nt
Filed under: uncultured bacterium
Lineage: Bacteria
Description: partial 16S ribosomal RNA
Rfam family: Bacterial small subunit ribosomal RNA
Source: RNAcentral
UACAGAGACCUCAAGCGUUAUCCGGAAUCAUUGGGCGUAAAGCGUACCGACAGGUGGUCAUACAAGUCAGAAGUGAAAUCUCAAAGCUUAACUUUGAGUCUGUCUUUUGAAACUGUAUGACUAGAGGGGCAAAGAGGAAGCUGGAACGAACGGUGUAGUAGUGAAAUGCGUUGAUAUCGUUCGGAACACCAAUAGCGUAGGCAGGCUUCUGGGUGCCACCUGACACUGCUAGGACGAAAGCGUGGGGAGCGAAUGGG